AUUGAACGCUGGCGGCAGGCCUAACACAUGCAAGUCGAGCGAGCGGCGGACGGGUGAGUAAUGUCUGGGAAACUGCCUGAUGGAGGGGGAUAACUACUGGAAACGGUAGCUAAUACCGCAUACCAUCAGAUGUGCCCAGAUGGGAUUAGCUAGUAGGUGGGGUAACGGCUCACCAAGGCGACGAUCCCUAGCUGGUCUGAGAGGAUGACCAGCCACACUGGACUGUGAACACGGUCCGGACUCCUACGGGAGGGAGCAGGGGGAAAUAUUGCACAUUGGGCGCAAGCCUGAUGCAGCCAUGCCGCGUGGGUGAAGAAGGCCUUCGGGUUGUAAAGCACUUUCAGCGGGGAGGCGUUACCGGCAGAAGAAGCACCGGCUAACUCCGUGCCAGCAGCCGCGGUAAUUC
This 406-nucleotide ribosomal RNA is filed under the name uncultured bacterium. RNAcentral's name for it is "partial 16S ribosomal RNA". It matches the Rfam family "Bacterial small subunit ribosomal RNA", at positions 30 to 526 of the family's 1533-position model. The record is from RNAcentral.